AGGAAUGCGUUGAUGAGGAGUAGUACGAAAGUGAAACGGCAAAAGAGAGUUGACGGCAGGUGAAAGUCAACCCGUCCCUUUCCGAACUCGCCUCGAAGCACUCUGCCUGAAGACCGUCCAGUAGGAGCGGUUGCGUAAGGGGGAGCGUCUAUCCACGAUACGGAUUUUUCAAGCGGGUGAGCUUAUGAUUGCAAGCAUCAGGACUUCUGCUUUCUGUGAAGCAAAGCGAUGAUCGGUGUGCCGUCUGUUCACCAAUGUGGGUGGUACCGCGGGAGCGUAUAUAAUCCUCUCGUCCCUUUU
This 300-nucleotide non-coding RNA is filed under the name Brevibacillus borstelensis. RNAcentral describes it as "T-box sequence". It matches the Rfam family "T-box leader". Rfam says of the family: Uncharged tRNA acts as the effector for transcription antitermination of genes in the T-box leader family. The record is from RNAcentral. Lineage: Bacteria; Bacillati; Bacillota; Bacilli; Caryophanales; Paenibacillaceae.